UACAGAGGUCUCAAGCGUUGUUCGGAUUCAUUGGGCGUAAAGAGCGUGUAGGCGGCCCGAUUAGUCUGCUGUGAAAGUCCAGGGCUCAACCCUGGAAUGCCGGUGGAUACUGUCGGGCUAGAGUCCGGAAGGGGCGAGUGGAAUUCCUGGUGUAGCGGUGAAAUGCGCAGAUAUCAGGAGGAACACCAAUGGCGAAGGCAGCUCGCUGGGACGUGACUGACGCUGAGACGCGAAAGCGUGGGGAGCAAACAGG
RNAcentral lists this ribosomal RNA (253 nucleotides) under uncultured bacterium. Its description in RNAcentral is "partial 16S ribosomal RNA". It matches the Rfam family "Bacterial small subunit ribosomal RNA", at positions 524 to 776 of the family's 1533-position model. The record is from RNAcentral.